CUCAAGGAAAUAAAGAGUGGAGGCAAGUCAGCUGACCUCAACAGCCGAGUACGAUCCAAAUAAACCUGGAGACAAGCCACAGGGCACAAAGCAGGUCUGAUGGAGCAUCUAGGAUAGUCCACCGACUUGGAAGCCGACUUAGUCCUCCUUGAGAUAUUAAACGACACACCUCCGGGGGUGAACGAGACUGCGUUCCAGUCCAGAGCCCUGACGUCCGAUACCCUCUUACACAAAAGUAGACACAGAAGCAUAACCAGUUUCCAUGAUAACUGUUUGAGUGUCA
Molecule: non-coding RNA, 283 nt
Organism: Pelobates cultripes (western spadefoot toad)
Lineage: Eukaryota; Metazoa; Chordata; Amphibia; Anura; Pelobatidae
Source: the annotation of a GenBank genome assembly